CUAGAUGGUGCGUGGCGGUGGCCGGUUUGGUGCGGUGGGUGGGCGAGAGAGCAAGUGCCGAGCGGCAUCAAUUGCGGCAUGCCCGAGAUCGGAGGCAGGCGACCGUGCACAUAUGGCACCAUCCUUCUGAGUUCUGAAUUCUGAUGCGACAUGUGCAGGCCUGUUUGGUUGAGACGCGUCAAGAUCAUAAACGCUGCAGGAUCUAGCGGUAGAGACCUUAGGGUGGUGGCCGUGAGCAUUGCUGGAGCUGGGCCACGCGCCAGUUGGGAAGAUGCAGAUCAUUUUGGGCCUGCCCAUAGUUCUGCGUAGGGAAUCCGUGAUAAGGUAUGUUCGGUAAAGCUCCUGUUGCUCUGAUCCUUUAUACGAAGUGAUUCUCUGAUUAUGUAGUUGAAAACGAUUAUUUUGGAUAAACUCUACAUAUGAACCUAUUCAGUUCACAACAUCUUAGUUCAUUCGUGAGAAUCAUUUAACAGAAUUAAUCUAAAUAAAGCUUUGAAGUUCUGCCAAUAUGCCCUUAAUUUAUACCAAAAUCACUUAAAAUUUCAUCGUGGCCAAACAUACCCUCCGUCUAAAAAUAAUGCAACUAUAAUUUUAUCUUAAAUUAAACCAUUUUAAACUUGUCUAAAUUUAUAAAGAAUAGUAUCAAUAUUUAUAUAAUAUCAAAUAAACAUUCUAAGAAAAUAUAUUUCAUAAUAAAUUUAAUGAUACUUUUUGAUGUUAUAAAUGUUGACACCCUUCUCAAGUUAUUCAUAAACUUGAUCAAACUUUGAAAAAUGACUAAUAUUAAAUAAGAAUUGCAUUAUUUUUAAGAACGACUGAAAAUGUCUAUCCAGUCCCUCCCAGACCGACUUGAAAUAGGCUAUAGGACAAUGUCUGCUCAAACUUUUUGAUGGGCUAAAUUUGCUCAAGACUUCUAGGCAGUAGUCACAACGUUCCAGUUGAGGACAAUGUCUGCUUCCAGUUCUCAAUGGAAUGGUAUACACAGGUUUGCUAAAAGUGGAGCGCUAUGACUUUUUGAAUGUCAAAUGUUACUACACAGUAUAUAAUUCUUCUUAUGCCACUGCAAUGCUAGUCCAAAAACAGAACUCAAGGGUACGCAAUUAUAGUUUAAAUAAACUGACGCCAUGCGCCACACCUACGGAAUAUACAGCAGGAGCCCGCACUCCGAUAGAUGCUACAAAACUGAAGGUUACAGAACUACACAUGACCAUAUCAUCUAGAUGGAGACCUUGCGAACCCAUCUAUGCGAGGAACACAGGUUCUAUAAUAUGGUGAUGGUCUUAUGCUAAUUCAGUUGCAUAGUCCACCCCAUCCAGUCCUCUGUUUGACCCAUCUGGAGACUCGUCAGCGAAGUAUACAGCUGCUGAGACACUACGCCAACACCUUGGUGCCCAUAUUCCACCCUGCAAGAUGAAAUCCAUUGGAUGUAGCGACAAAAAAGGGGCAAAGAAUGCAAGGAAAAAACUAGGUCAGAAAGGCCAGUAUUCCUAGCACUAAAACUCCUUGUAUAUGAUAUAAAGAACUAAUCAUAAAAGGAAUACUUGGGAGUAGAACAUAAAGCAACUAUUACCGAGGUGUUUGCCCACCAUAAGGUUCAUACGGGGCAUAUUUAAUAGUAUGUCUCAUGUAUUUAAGCAGAUAUACAUGAUAUAGGUGUCAGCUAAUUUUUUGUUAGGAACAAUUUAAAUUUGAUGCAACUACACAUACAUUUCAAUUAACAAGUGAGCUCUCAAGUCUCAAGCAAAGAUAUAUAUGUUUCACCUUUUCCCUUGAUAAGUUAUACUCCCAACAGGAGACACUACAACAGCAGUUCCCGUGCAGAAGAUUUCAUCAGCAUCAAGCAAUUCAUCCACUGACACCAGCCGCUCCUCAACCUUCCAAGAAGUGAGAAUAUAUUAAAUUAAGAUUGCACCAAACAUUUGUGAACAUACGCAAUGCUUCUCAGUGACAAUUCAUAUGACAUAGGCACCUAGUUAGCACCUAUAGGCUCACUGCAUAUGAUCCAUUACUGUGCUCACUGCUUAAGAUCCAAAACUAGUGCUAAGUUAUCAAGCAAAGGAACUGAAGUUUAAAAUAACAGGCAAAUGGUAUCCUCAUGUAUACUGAUAGUUAACCAGCUCAUUUUUGGAACCAGGCUCACAGCUUAUGAUCCAAAAACUAUGCUCACUGCUUAGGAUCCAAAACUAGCGCUAAGUUAUCAAGCAAAGUUACUUAAGUUUAUAAUAACAGGCAAGUGAUAUCCUCAUGUACACUGAUAGUUAACCUGCUCAUUUUUUUAACCAUUGGAUUAAAAAAAAGGCAUACCCAGUGAUGAAAGCUCCCACACAAGGUGGUGUCUGGGGAAGGGAAUUCCUAGGAGAUCUCAAUUCCUAGACAGCCUAACCCUUGCAAAAUUCUUUUAAAUUCUGCAAAGAGGCUUUUGGAACCAUAGGAUUGACAAGUAAUUUACCUGGAAGCCCUUGCUCACAGCAACAUCUAUUAUACUUUUCCUUGUGAUGCCAGGUAAUAUUGUUCCUUUUAUUGCCGGAGUAGAAAUAACAUUGCCCUGGUGCAAACAUGACAAGAAAUAAGGUAGGCCAUUAAUUUGUUGAGCUGAAUAUCCUUGAUCAAGUCAGCAGAAAAUUUAAAAGCAUGCAGCAAUAGCUUACCAGUCACUAGUAAGGCGACGAUAUAGUACUGCUAUGUGCUAAGCAGCCAAGUAGGGCUAAAUCUAUUAGGUAGCAGAUAGAGCUCAACCAGGUAUCACUACGUACUAUUUAACAGCCAUACCAUUCUUGCAAGAGAAACCUUAUCUUUUUGUUGUUUAAAAUAGACCUUAGCCGUAGACCAAUCUACAACCAAUGUGUUACAGACAUUCUUCUAGUUUUCAAUAAGGUGAUUAGCCACAAAAGGCUUAUGCAUGGUAGAAGGUCAAAAUGUUCAGUCGACUGAGCUCUAGAUGAAAAAAGUAUGUGGCACAAAAAUCUCUUAUCCUACAUUACUACAAGAUCAUGCUUGAGAUACCAACAGAUGCAGCUACCAAUAACCUACUCCUAAAGACAUGUUUCAUGACAAGGUUAUGACUUUCAAGCCAUCUAAUGUUGCAGACAUAUAUUAGGGUGAGAUUAGCCAUCUUUGAAUUAAUAGGUUGAUAACCAAGCUUGAUUUAUUAGUAGCUUGCAGAACUCGAAAGCCCUUAGUGCACCUACUAAAUUAAGCUUCAAGCCAAAAUAAAAGGUGUGGAAGAUAUUACGGUCCUACCUUGACAACAAAAAUAUUACAUGAGGAAACUUCUUCAAGAUAUUUUUUGUGAACAGCAUCCAAGUAGAGAACAUCAGAAUAACCUUUCUCCUUUGCAAUUUUCUGUGCCAUCAACACCUAUGCAAUGACAAGAAAACAUGAUUUAAAGCCACUGUGAAUAAUACAAGAAUAUUUAAUGUGGCAUAGAAAAAUAGCAAUAUUUAAUGUAGAUAGCAAUUAUCCAUGAGGCUGGCUACAGUUUUACCAAAAAGAAAGGGAUACAAUGGGUUUCAAUAGUCAAGAUGCAUGGAAUGCAUAUUAUGGGUUGCAACAUGUCACAUUUUGGAAUUCUCCAUUAGUCCAUGAUAGUAUUCCAUCUGAGCUUUGGCUUUUAUCAUUUCACAACAUGGUAGAGAUCAUUUAUAUUCUUAAGAAUUCUUCUUAUUACAUAUUCUAUUGAAUCACCUCAAGAACAUCUUCUUUUGUGUUUGAAUAUUUGAAGCACAAAAUAAUCACAGUAGUAGGUAAGCAAGAGAAAUAUCAGACAGCAAAGCUCAAAAUUAGUAGUCCUGCAGCUUCAAUUACUUGUGCAACAAAGUACUAAAGCAGAAUUACCGAAGCAUAAUUUCCAAUAGUCUUCACACCACCAGUUCCACCAGGAGUGGCACGAUGGAACUUGUCUUCAACUAUCAAAUUUAUCGGUGCUAAACCUUCCUGCAGAAAACCAG
This 3947-nucleotide long non-coding RNA is filed under the name Setaria viridis. RNAcentral describes it as "long non-coding RNA (SVIR_LNC011129)". The record is from RNAcentral. Lineage: Eukaryota; Viridiplantae; Streptophyta; Magnoliopsida; Poales; Poaceae.